Molecule: small nuclear RNA, 110 nt
Organism: Phodopus roborovskii (desert hamster)
Lineage: Eukaryota; Metazoa; Chordata; Mammalia; Rodentia; Cricetidae
Source: RefSeq, a predicted model, not a curated record
AUGAUCCCCUCAGCAGCAUAUACACUAAAAUUGGAACGAUACAGAGAAGAUUAGCAUUGUCUCUAAGUAGGAUGACAUGCAAAUUCAUUUAUGGACAGGAUAAGCUAUUU